UUCGGGACUGGGGGCUGUGUUAGGAAAAGCGGGACUGGGGGGGCAGUAUGAAGGCUGUUUAGGGGAAAGAACGUACAGGCCCCUAGCAACCACCUUCCCUCCCAAAAUCUGCAGCUCGCUGACAGCAGUGGGCCCGGUAAUCCAAGUAAAUGCAGCCAAGCCCCCUUAACACCUAAAACCUCCCGAGCGCUGGUAGACUGGGCCGCUCCCGAUGGCGGACACCCCAGGGUGUUGGAAAGUAUGUGGUGCAGUAGUGAGAGAAGCCUCUGUGAAAAACACUGAAGGAACCUCUUAGUCCAAGAAGUUACUCACAGAGGAGUCCUAGACUAUAUCAGAGAAGAUUCAAGAAUGGCUGCAGACAAAGCAGGAGAACAGGGAGUUGAAAAACACAAGGGCUCUGCUGAUUGGUCAAGCAUAUCUGACCUUGAGAAGGAAUUAUCAAGAAGUGCAUUACAAGCAUUUACAGCUGGUAAUUAUGAAGCCUGUCUACAGCAUCUAGGAGAACUUAAAGAAAUCAACAAAGAUGAUUAUAAAGUAAUCCUGAACUCCUGCUGUAGCUGAGUUGUAUAAGAGUGGCCAAACAACUACUGAGCUGUUGAAGCAAACACUUAACCAUUAAGGAAUGAGGUAGGCGUAUUUGUCUGAAAACACCUAAAUCGUCUCCUCAAAGCCCUACAGGACCGUUUACACCACACAGACAAGCAUGUUCAAGGGAAAAUUUCUUUGUGUAUUCUUUGCUGUGCUCAUUGCAAACUCAAUGGCAAAGCCAGGAGGCUUUGCAGAUGAAGAUGGUAUAAACAAACGAGGUGUCCGAAGAUUUCCAACUUUUACUGACACAAAUAGGCUCAUUGAUCUUGUUGAAGAACUUCCAGCCCGUGUGGGUGGAGACAGCACCGUGGACCACUAUGGGAUGCAAAUCACUUGAAAGCCGAAGAUGCCUGAAAUCUUUGCUUGCAAAAAGAAGAUUGCCUUUCACUCAUCACUACAAAUGAACCAUUGGUCUUUCAUUCUUUGUGUUUCUAUUCUAUUCUAUAGGGUCCCGGACUUUCUGCUGCAGAAUCAACAGGAAACCUCAACACGUCAAGGAUACCAAUAGUGCAGACAAGGAUAAGGCGUAGAAUGAAGGCUGGCCUGGCAAGGUUCAGGACAGGCAGCAAGAAUCAGAGGGGCAAAUUCACUAAGAUCCGAAGUUGCACCAGCGACAGCUUCGCUGCACUUCGCAUGGGGUAGUUUCGCCAGCGCUACGCAAAUUCACUAAAAUG
Xenopus laevis (African clawed frog) is the source of this 1262-nucleotide long non-coding RNA. RefSeq lists it as uncharacterized. The transcript is spliced from 6 exons. Lineage: Eukaryota; Metazoa; Chordata; Amphibia; Anura; Pipidae. The record is from RefSeq and is a predicted model, not a curated record.